CCUACGGGUGGCAGCAGUGGGGAAUAUUGGACAAUGGGCGCAAGCCUGAUCCAGCCAUGCCGCGUGAGUGAUGAAGGCCCUAGGGUUGUAAAGCUCUUUCGGCGGGGACGCGGUACCCGCAGAAGAAGCCCCGGCUAACUUCGUGCCAGCAGCCGCGGUAAUACGAAGGGGGCUAGCGUUGUUCGGAAUCACUGGGCGUAAAGGGCGCGUAGGCGGCCGAUCAAGUCGGGGGUGAAAGCCUGUGGCUCAACCACAGAAUUGCCUUCGAUACUGUUUGGCUUGAGACCGGAAGAGGUUAGUGGAACUGCGAGUGUAGAGGUGAAAUUCGUAGAUAUUCGCAAGAACACCAGUGGCGAAGGCGGCUGACUGGUCCGGUCUGACGCUGAGGCGCGAAAGCGUGGGGAGCAAACAGGAUUAGAUACCCUUGUAGUC
This 432-nucleotide ribosomal RNA is filed under the name uncultured bacterium. Its description in RNAcentral is "partial 16S ribosomal RNA". It matches the Rfam family "Bacterial small subunit ribosomal RNA", at positions 338 to 795 of the family's 1533-position model. The record is from RNAcentral.